UCACCCUAAUAUUUCAAUAUAUGUAUUUAUGUUAUGCGUGUGUAUAAUGUGUGUUUGUAUGUAUGCUUGUUUGUACUGCAGUUUUGUGGGGUAUCGUGCAGGUGCUUGUAGCCAUAGUGAGGACGUGGUGACUGCUCUUAUUGUGCUGUUUGCCCCUGUGCCCAUCACCCUACUGCUGGUAGGGCUGGUCUUCUUCCACCUGUACCCCAUCAACGAGGAUCGACUCCUCCAGCUCCAGAGAGCGCUAGGAAGAGAUGUUGAAGCCAUAGAUUCAACUGAUAUAGAAGAGAAGAUAGGAUCACACAUUCAUCAGUCAAGACACCAAACACAUGAGUCCAGUCUGAAGUCAUGUGAUGAACGUGGUACCUUCAGCAUUCGGAGGUCUUGGCUGAUUUUUGAUUUCCCCAUGACGUCAAGCACAGAGG
This is a long non-coding RNA of Oncorhynchus masou masou (cherry salmon), 425 nucleotides long. RefSeq lists it as uncharacterized. The transcript is spliced from 3 exons. The record is from RefSeq and is a predicted model, not a curated record. NCBI's taxonomy places the organism in Eukaryota, Metazoa, Chordata, Actinopteri, Salmoniformes, Salmonidae.